RNAcentral lists this ribosomal RNA (468 nucleotides) under uncultured bacterium. RNAcentral's name for it is "partial 16S ribosomal RNA". It matches the Rfam family "Bacterial small subunit ribosomal RNA", at positions 28 to 507 of the family's 1533-position model. The record is from RNAcentral.
GACGAACGCUGGCGGCGUGCUUAACACAUGCAAGUCGAACGGAAAGGCCCUGCUUUUGUGGGGUGCUCGAGUGGCGAACGGGUGAGUAACACGUGAGUAACCUGCCCUUGACUUUGGGAUAACUUCAGGAAACAGGGGCUAAUACCGGAUAGGAGCUCCUGCUGCAUGGUGGGGGUUGGAAAGUUUCGGCGGUUGGGGAUGGACUCGCGGCUUAUCAGCUUGUUGGUGGGGUAGUGGCUUACCAAGGCUUUGACGGGUAGCCGGCCUGAGAGGGUGACCGGCCACAUUGGGACUGAGAUACGGCCCAGACUCCUACGGGAGGCAGCAGUGGGGAAUAUUGCACAAUGGGCGGAAGCCUGAUGCAGCAACGCCGCGUGCGGGAUGACGGCCUUCGGGUUGUAAACCGCUUUCGCCUGUGACGAAGCGUGAGUGACGGUAAUGGGUAAAGAAGCACCGGCUAACUACGUG